Molecule: transfer RNA, 145 nt
Filed under: Prunus avium (sweet cherry)
Lineage: Eukaryota; Viridiplantae; Streptophyta; Magnoliopsida; Rosales; Rosaceae
Description: tRNA-Ser
Source: RNAcentral
GUGAUAAUAAUUUAGAAAAAUAAUGAUUUAGAAGAUUAUAAAACAUAUUUAAAACUAAAUCAAUUAGUUUCAACGAACCCUUCUUUUAAUAUAUAAUAAUAUAUAAUUAUAAUAUAUAAUAAAAAAUAAAUUUAUUUUUAUUAUU